Molecule: transfer RNA, 77 nt
Filed under: Cytobacillus dafuensis
Lineage: Bacteria; Bacillati; Bacillota; Bacilli; Caryophanales; Bacillaceae
Description: Bacillus dafuensis tRNA-Arg
Rfam family: tRNA
About the family: Transfer RNA (tRNA) molecules are approximately 80 nucleotides in length. Their secondary structure includes four short double-helical elements and three loops (D, anti-codon, and T loops). Further hydrogen bonds mediate the characteristic L-shaped molecular structure. tRNAs have two regions of fundamental functional importance: the anti-codon, which is responsible for specific mRNA codon recognition, and the 3' end, to which the tRNAs corresponding amino acid is attached (by aminoacyl-tRNA synthetases). tRNAs cope with the degeneracy of the genetic code in two manners: having more than one tRNA (with a specific anti-codon) for a particular amino acid; and 'wobble' base-pairing, i.e. permitting non-standard base-pairing at the 3rd anti-codon position.
Source: RNAcentral
GUCCCAGUAGCUCAGUAGGAUAGAGCGACAGCCUCCUAAGCUGUAGGUCGUAGGUUCGAUUCCUAUCUGGGACGUCA